GCGGGUAUAGCUCAGUGGUAGAGCACAACCUUGCCAAGGUUGGGGUCGCGCGUUCGAGCCGCGUUACCCGCU
Molecule: transfer RNA, 72 nt
Organism: Vitrella brassicaformis
Lineage: Eukaryota; Vitrellaceae
Rfam family: tRNA
About the family: Transfer RNA (tRNA) molecules are approximately 80 nucleotides in length. Their secondary structure includes four short double-helical elements and three loops (D, anti-codon, and T loops). Further hydrogen bonds mediate the characteristic L-shaped molecular structure. tRNAs have two regions of fundamental functional importance: the anti-codon, which is responsible for specific mRNA codon recognition, and the 3' end, to which the tRNAs corresponding amino acid is attached (by aminoacyl-tRNA synthetases). tRNAs cope with the degeneracy of the genetic code in two manners: having more than one tRNA (with a specific anti-codon) for a particular amino acid; and 'wobble' base-pairing, i.e. permitting non-standard base-pairing at the 3rd anti-codon position.
Source: Rfam